CGUGUUAAUUGACCAUUACCUGUAGUUUUUGCGGUGUGUUGGAGUCGGUGCGGAGCCCGCCAUUUGUGGUGUUUAUAGGCUGUAAAAUCCUAUCCUAUCCUAAAAUUAAGAUAAAUUCCCUGAGUGCUAAAGUGUGUUGGUUCAAGCAAAUGGUGAGCGGUCUGUCUGCAGGUGGCUGGCUGGGCUUGGCGCUCUGUGAUGAUGUGUCUCCUGGAUUGACAGCAUCGGCGGGGCAGUUGGAGAUUGGCAAGCCGUGUUCCCGCCCCCUCCUACUCCGCCGUUUCCUCCCCUCGCCCCCAUCCACACCUCCUGCAUCUCCCGUUCCUCCUCCUGCGCCACCUUUCCAGCUCCUUCAUGCCGCUCCGACAUCCGGAUCUUCCUGGAUCGCGGCCAGGGUGGAGGGGGAGAGGAGGGUCCACCGCCUCCUUCCUGUCCGUAUGCAAAUUGGCCUUGUUUUGAUUAAAAGACAGCUGCAUAUUUCAUUAAAGUCACCAAUGGAGGUGGGAGAGGAGAAGGCAUGCCUCUCUGGGGAGGCGAAGGUUGUUUAGCUGGAGUGAAUGUUGUGGGAGCUGCUGUUUAGUGCUGCUGAGGGGAACAAAUAGCGAAGACAAAAGGGCUGCCCAGGGACUGCUUUGGGGUUUAAUGGGGCUGACUGACUGGCACAUCAGUUAAAGCUCACACUGAUGCAGAGCGCCAGUGAAUGUGCGUUGCAUGAUAACUGAAGCAAUUGACAAUGAAAUAUAGACCCCCGUCAGCCUUCAAGGUGCUCUGGCAUGCCAAGGCAGUUGUGUUGCGACCCACCGCUGCCAGGCUGCUGAGAAAAACAAACAGCAACUCCUGUUUGUGAGUAAUAAAAUGAGAAAUGGUUUCUCAUGUGGCCAUUUUUUACUUUAUGGCAAAUAGGCUGCUCCCUUGUGGGCUGGGUGAUGGAAUAAACAUUGCUUCACCGAUACAUUUUCACCUCUUUGGUGAAAUAAGUUGUUUCUCUUAAA
Long non-coding RNA from Sebastes umbrosus (honeycomb rockfish), 992 nucleotides. RefSeq lists it as uncharacterized. The record is from RefSeq and is a predicted model, not a curated record. NCBI's taxonomy places the organism in Eukaryota, Metazoa, Chordata, Actinopteri, Perciformes, Sebastidae. The transcript is spliced from 3 exons.